RNAcentral lists this transfer RNA (106 nucleotides) under Erinaceus europaeus (western European hedgehog). It matches the Rfam family "tRNA". From Rfam's summary of the family: Transfer RNA (tRNA) molecules are approximately 80 nucleotides in length. Their secondary structure includes four short double-helical elements and three loops (D, anti-codon, and T loops). Further hydrogen bonds mediate the characteristic L-shaped molecular structure. tRNAs have two regions of fundamental functional importance: the anti-codon, which is responsible for specific mRNA codon recognition, and the 3' end, to which the tRNAs corresponding amino acid is attached (by aminoacyl-tRNA synthetases). tRNAs cope with the degeneracy of the genetic code in two manners: having more than one tRNA (with a specific anti-codon) for a particular amino acid; and 'wobble' base-pairing, i.e. permitting non-standard base-pairing at the 3rd anti-codon position. The record is from Rfam by way of RNAcentral. Lineage: Eukaryota; Metazoa; Chordata; Mammalia; Eulipotyphla; Erinaceidae.
GGUUCCAUGGUGUAAUGGUUAGCACUCCGGAUUCUGAAUCCGGAACAGUGGUGUAAGAACUACACGGUUCCUGUGUGUUUAAGUGCUAGAUAACUUAUAGGUACCA